AUCCAGCUGACAAGACCCAAAUAGGACGAAACGCGCGUUCUCGAU
This 45-nucleotide non-coding RNA is filed under the name Schistosoma mansoni. The record is from RNAcentral. Lineage: Eukaryota; Metazoa; Platyhelminthes; Trematoda; Strigeidida; Schistosomatidae.